This is a long non-coding RNA of Raphanus sativus (radish), 882 nucleotides long. RefSeq lists it as uncharacterized. NCBI's taxonomy places the organism in Eukaryota, Viridiplantae, Streptophyta, Magnoliopsida, Brassicales, Brassicaceae. The transcript is spliced from 5 exons. The record is from RefSeq and is a predicted model, not a curated record.
CCUUACGAGCCACGUGUCUUUCUCUCUGUUUCUCUUCUCUUCUUCUCUUGGUAUCUAUUUCUUCAUCUUGUUUCUCUCCCGAUGAUGAAGAAACUCGUUUUCUCCCGAUGAUUUGAUUAGUGAUAUUUGUUUCUCUAGUAGGCAGAAUUUCCAGGGACGGUUUGAUUAGUGAUUUUUUUCUUAAUCUGGGGUUCAUGAAAUUGGAUUGAAAGCUGUGAUUUUUUCUCUUAAUAAGCUCUUGAAGUCUUGGUGGAACUGGUGACAAUGUGUUCAAUUCUCUCUGGGAAGCUCUUCCAACCGUCGCCGUCGUCGGUGGUCAGAGUUGUGGAAAAUCUUCGGUUCUUGAGAGUAUAGUUGGUAGAGACUUUCUUCCUAGAGGAUCCGGUAUCGUUACGAGGCGUCCUUUGGUGUUGCAGCUGCACAAGACGAAGGAAGGAACAUAGGAGUAUGCAGAGUUCCUCCAUCAUCCCAAGAAGCAAUUCACAGACUUCGCUUUGGUUGGGAAGGAGAUUCAAGAUGAGACUGAUAGAAUCACUGGGAAGAGCAAACAGAUAUCUCCAGUUCCUAUUCACCUUAGUAUCUUCUCUCCAAAUGGCAGCAUCAAAUACCUCUCGAAGAGUAUGAUGAUAACGAAGCUAUGACUGACACUGGAGAUACAUGGUUUGUUCUGUAAUAGUUUAAUGAGACACAAACGUAACUGAGACUCUCGGUGUUCUGUUCAGACAAGCAACUCUAUGCUAUGUUGGUGGAUAACUUUAACAAAAAAAGUAUUUAGUUACUAAGAAACAACAUAAAGUCUCACCAAUAAUCUGCAUUUUUGUUAAUGUUUCUUAACAUUGUCCUUAACUUAAAAGUAAUAAUAAAAUAACCUAAGAACUCUAA